GAUGAACGCUGGCGGCGUGCUUAACACAUGCAAGUCGAACGGUAAGGCCCUUCGGGGUACACGAGUGGCGAACGGGUGAGUAACACGUGGGUGAUCUGCCCUGCACUUCGGGAUAAGCCUGGGAAACUGGGUCUAAUACCGGAUAGGACCACUGCCUGCAUGGGUGGUGGUGGAAAGCUUUUGCGGUGUGGGAUGGGCCCGCGGCCUAUCAGCUUGUUGGUGGGGUGAUGGCCUACCAAGGCGACGACGGGUAGCCGGCCUGAGAGGGUGACCGGCCACACUGGGACUCCGAUACGGCCCAGACGCCUACGGGAGGCAGCAGUGGGGAAUAUUGCACAAUGGGCGCAAGCCUGAUGCAGCGACGCCGCGUGAGGGAGGACGGCCUUCGGGUUGUAAACCUCUUUCAGCACCGACGAGGCGCAAGUGACGGUAGGUGCAGAAGAAGGACCGGCCAACUACGUGCCAGCAGCCGCAGUAA
RNAcentral lists this ribosomal RNA (478 nucleotides) under uncultured bacterium. Its description in RNAcentral is "partial 16S ribosomal RNA". It matches the Rfam family "Bacterial small subunit ribosomal RNA", at positions 28 to 523 of the family's 1533-position model. The record is from RNAcentral.